AACGCGAAGAACCUUACCUACCCUUGACAUGGUUGGAAUCUUUGAGAGAUCAGAGAGUGCUCGCAAGAGAACCAAUACACAGGUGCUGCAUGGCUGUCGUCAGCUCGUGUCGUGAGAUGUUGGGUUAAGUCCCGCAACGAGCGCAACCCUUGUCAUUAAUUGCCAUCAUUAAGUUGGGCACUUUAAUGAGACUGCCGGUGACAAACCGGAGGAAGGUGGGGAUGACGUCAAGUCCUCAUGGCCCUUAUGGGUAGGGCUUCACACGUCAUACAAUGGUACAUACAGAGGGUUGCCAAGCCGCGAGGUGGAGCUAAUCCCAGAAAGUGUAUCGUAGUCCGGAUUGGAGUCUGCAACUCGACUCCAUGAAGUUGGAAUCGCUAGUAAUCGCGGAUCAGCAUGUCGCGGUGAAUACGUUCCCGGGCCUUGUA
RNAcentral lists this ribosomal RNA (428 nucleotides) under uncultured beta proteobacterium. RNAcentral's name for it is "bacterial SSU rRNA". It matches the Rfam family "Bacterial small subunit ribosomal RNA", at positions 958 to 1385 of the family's 1533-position model. Lineage: Bacteria; Pseudomonadati; Pseudomonadota; Betaproteobacteria. The record is from RNAcentral.